Molecule: ribosomal RNA, 271 nt
Filed under: Escherichia coli
Lineage: Bacteria; Pseudomonadati; Pseudomonadota; Gammaproteobacteria; Enterobacterales; Enterobacteriaceae
Description: partial 16S ribosomal RNA
Rfam family: Bacterial small subunit ribosomal RNA
Source: RNAcentral
CGCUGACGAGUGGCGGACGGGUGAGUAAUGUCUGGGAAACUGCCUGAUGGAGGGGGAUAACUACUGGAAACGGUAGCUAAUACCGCAUAAUGUCGCAAGACCAAAGAGGGGGACCUUCGGGCCUCUUGCCAUCGGAUGUGCCCAGAUGGGAUUAGCUUGUUGGUGGGGUAACGGCUCACCAAGGCGACGAUCCCUAGCUGGUCUGAGAGGAUGACCAGCCACACUGGAACUGAGACACGGUCCAGACUCCUACGGGAGGCAGCAGUGGGGA